Molecule: ribosomal RNA, 696 nt
Filed under: uncultured bacterium
Lineage: Bacteria
Description: bacterial SSU rRNA
Rfam family: Bacterial small subunit ribosomal RNA
Source: RNAcentral
GCUGAAAGAUGGCCUCGCGUCUGAUUAGCUAGUUGGCGGGGUAACGGCCCACCAAGGCGACGAUCAGUAGCCGGUCUGAGAGGAUGAACGGCCACAUUGGGACUGAGAUACGGCCCAGACUCCUACGGGAGGCAGCAGUGGGGAAUAUUGGGCAAUGGGCGAAAGCCUGACCCAGCAACGCCGCGUGAAGGAAGAAGGCCCUCGGGUUGUAAACUUCUUUUACCAGGGACGAAGGACGUGACGGUACCUGGAGAAAAAGCAACGGCUAACUACGUGCCAGCAGCCGCGGUAAUACGUAGGUUGCAAGCGUUGUCCGGAUUUACUGGGUGUAAAGGGCGUGUGGGCGGAGAUGCAAGUUGGGAGUGAAAUCCAUGGGCUCAACCCAUGAACUGCUCUCAAAACUGUAUCCCUUGAGUAUCGGAGAGGCAAGCGGAAUUCCUAGUGUAGCGGUGAAAUGCGUAGAUAUUAGGAGGAACACCAGUGGCGAAGGCGGCUUGCUGGACGACAACUGACGCUGAGGCGCGAAAGCGUGGGGAGCAAACAGGAUUAGAUACCCUGGUAGUCCACGCUGUAAACGAUGAAUACUAGGUGUGGGGGGACUGACCCCCUCCGUGCCGCAGUUAACACAAUAAGUAUUCCACCUGGGGAGUACGACCGCAAGGUUGAAACUCAAAGGAAUUGACGGGGGCCCGCACA